GCGCUCUUAGUUCAGUCCGGUAGAACGCAGGUCUCCAAAACCUGAUGUCGUAGGUUCAAAUCCUACAGGGCGCG
Selaginella moellendorffii is the source of this 74-nucleotide transfer RNA. It matches the Rfam family "tRNA". Rfam says of the family: Transfer RNA (tRNA) molecules are approximately 80 nucleotides in length. Their secondary structure includes four short double-helical elements and three loops (D, anti-codon, and T loops). The record is from Rfam. NCBI's taxonomy places the organism in Eukaryota, Viridiplantae, Streptophyta, Lycopodiopsida, Selaginellales, Selaginellaceae.